This 500-nucleotide ribosomal RNA is filed under the name uncultured bacterium. RNAcentral describes it as "bacterial SSU rRNA". It matches the Rfam family "Bacterial small subunit ribosomal RNA", at positions 27 to 520 of the family's 1533-position model. The record is from RNAcentral.
GAUUGAACGCUGGCGGCAUGCUUUACACAUGCAAGUCGAACGGCAGCACGGGAGCUUGCUCCUGGUGGCGAGUGGCGAACGGGUGAGUAAUGCGUCGGAACGUGCCGAGUAAUGGGGGAUAACGCUUCGAAAGGAGUGCUAAUACCGCAUACGCUCUGAGGAGGAAAGCGGGGGACCUUCGGGCCUCGCGUUAUUCGAGCGGCCGACGUCGGAUUAGCUAGUUGGUGGGGUAAAGGCUUACCAAGGCGACGAUCCGUAGCGGGUCUGAGAGGAUGAUCCGCCACACUGGGACUGAGACACGGCCCAGACUCCUACGGGAGGCAGCAGUGGGGAAUUUUGGACAAUGGGGGCAACCCUGAUCCAGCCAUGCCGCGUGUCUGAAGAAGGCCUUCGGGUUGUAAAGGACUUUUGUCAGGGAGGAAAUCCUGAGCGUUAAUAGCGUUUGGGGAUGACAGUACCUGAAGAAUAAGCACCGGCUAACUACGUGCCAGCAGCCGCGG